Molecule: ribosomal RNA, 497 nt
Filed under: uncultured bacterium
Lineage: Bacteria
Description: partial 16S ribosomal RNA
Rfam family: Bacterial small subunit ribosomal RNA
Source: RNAcentral
GAUGAACGCUGGCGGCGUGCCUAAUACAUGCAAGUCGAGCGAACAGAUAAGGAGCUUGCUCCUUUGACGUUAGCGGCGGACGGGUGAGUAACACGUGGAUAACCUACCUAUAAGACUGGGAUAACUUCGGGAAACCGGAGCUAAUACCGGAUAACAUAUUGAACCGCAUGGUUCAAUAGUGAAAGGCGGCUUUGCUGUCACUUAUAGAUGGAUCCGCGCCGUAUUAGCUAGUUGGUAAGGUAACGGCUUACCAAGGCAACGAUACGUAGCCGACCUGAGAGGGUGACCGCCCCAACUGGAGCUGAAACAGGGUCCAGACUCCGGCGGGGGGAACCAGUAGGGAAUCUUCCGCAAGGGGGGAAAGCCGGACGGAGCAAGGCCGCGUGAGUAAGGAAGGUGUUCGGAUCGAAAAACUGUGUAACGAGGGAAAAACAAAUGUGAAGGGAACUGUGCACAUCUGGAGGUUACCUGAUAAGAAGGCCCGGGCAAACUCCGUG